AAUGCCUAGGAAUCUGCCUGGUAGUGGGGGAUAACGCUCGGAAACGGACGCUAAUACCGCAUACGUCCUACGGGAGAAAGCAGGGGACCUUCGGGCCUUGCGCUAUCAGAUGAGCCUAGGUCGGAUUAGCUAGUUGGUGAGGUAAUGGCUCACCAAGGCGACGAUCCGUAACUGGUCUGAGAGGAUGAUCAGUCACACUGGAACUGAGACACGGUCCAGACUCCUACGGGAGGCAGCAGUGGGGAAUAUUGGACAAUGGGCGAAAGCCUGAUCCAGCCAUGCCGCGUGUGUGAAGAAGGUCUUCGGAUUGUAAAGCACUUUAAGUUGGGAGGAAGGGCAUUAACCUAAUACGUUGGUGUCUUGACGUUACCGACAGAAUAAGCACCGGCUAACUCUGUGCCAGCAGCCGCGGUAAUACAGAGGGUGCAAGCGUUAAUCGGAAUUACUGGGCGUAAAGCGCGCGUAGGUGGUUUGUUAAGUUGGAUGUGAAAUCCCCGGGCUCAACCUGGGAACUGCAUUCAAAACUGACAAGCUAGAGUAUGGUAGAGGGUGGUGGAAUUUCCUGUGUAGCGGUGAAAUGCGUAGAUAUAGGAAGGAACACCAGUGGCGA
Molecule: ribosomal RNA, 610 nt
Filed under: Pseudomonas sp.
Lineage: Bacteria; Pseudomonadati; Pseudomonadota; Gammaproteobacteria; Pseudomonadales; Pseudomonadaceae
Description: bacterial SSU rRNA
Rfam family: Bacterial small subunit ribosomal RNA
Source: RNAcentral